This 440-nucleotide ribosomal RNA is filed under the name uncultured bacterium. Its description in RNAcentral is "partial 16S ribosomal RNA". It matches the Rfam family "Bacterial small subunit ribosomal RNA", at positions 338 to 795 of the family's 1533-position model. The record is from RNAcentral.
CCUACGGGGGGCAGCAGUAGGGAAUAUUGCUCAAUGGGGGAAACCCUGAAGCAGCAACGCCGCGUGGAGGAUGAAGGUUUUCGGAUUGUAAACUCCUUUUGUUAGAGAAGAUAAUGACGGUAUCUAACGAAUAAGCACCGGCUAACUACGUGCCAGCAGCCGCGGUAAUACGGAGGGUGCAAGCGUUACUCGGAAUCACUGGGCGUAAAGAGCGCGUAGGCGGGAUAGCAAGUCAGAUGUGAAAUCCUAUGGCUUAACCAUAGAACUGCAUUUGAAACUGUUAUUCUAGAGUAUGGGAGAGGUAGGUGGAAUUCUUGGUGUAGGGGUAAAAUGCGUAGAGAUAAAGAGGAAUACUCAUUGCGAAGGCGACCUGCUAGAACAUAACUGACGCUGAUGCGCGAAAGCGUGGGGAGCAAACAGGAUUAGAUACCCUUGUAGUC